Clupea harengus (Atlantic herring) is the source of this 374-nucleotide long non-coding RNA. The record is from Ensembl. Lineage: Eukaryota; Metazoa; Chordata; Actinopteri; Clupeiformes; Clupeidae.
UCUCUGCUUCAUCUAGCCUUCUCUCAAGUGCGCCAUUUGCACUUUCCUCCUCUCCUUCUCUCCUCCUCUCCUUCUCUCCUCUUCUCCUCCUCUUCUCUUCUUCUCCAGUGCACUCUCCUCUUCUCCUCCUCUUCUCUUCUUCUCCAGUGCACUCUCCUCUUCUCCUCCUCUCCUCUCCUCUUGUCUCUUGUCUGUCGUUCUUCUCCUCAUUCCUUCUUCACUCAUUCCAACUGUUGACAGAAUGUUCCAGAUAAAAAUGUUAUCUUUUUAAUGUACAUAUGUUUUGUAUAUGCUUUUGCAAGUGCAUCAAAUCUGUUUUUUUUUCACAUUCAAAACUGUCAUACGUGCCUGUUCUGCAAUAAAGCCUUAUUUUC